GGCCCUUUUUAUCAUUGCUAUUUUUCAAAUUGAUAUUUACAGAAAAUUGAUGAUUUUUGACGCAGAUCAUAUACAUGACUAUUUCUGUGUUACAUUAAAAAAGGAAGAAAUAUUGUUUUAAAACACAACAUCUGCGGCAAAGAAUGCAGUAUUCACAGUUCGUUUAUAGGAGGAAGGUGCGUUCAAAGAUGUCAACAUAUUUUAUAUUCUGUUUAGUUUUAUCAUUUUUCGUUAGAACGGAAGGUUGCAGCGUUUGUCCAGAUGGAAUUCGAAAAUUCGCAUGCUUUGUAAAUCCAUGUAGGCAAAUCAGUUGUGAUGGUGCAACGUGCAGGCCAAACUAUUGUGGAGGUUGUAAUAGGCUAUGGUAUCAGAAUGGUAUGGAUGUAACAAAACUGUGUGAAUUUCAGUGUCCAAGUGUAGCAAACUGUUUACCGGGAGUUGAAGUAGUGACUUGUUUUGUGGAUCCGUGCAAACCCCUAGGUAUACCGAUCACAUGUCCGGGUUUUCCUAGCGCACAAUGUUGUGCAUCAUAUUGUGGAGGCUGUCAUGCAGUUUGGUACUUGAGUGGAGUGCAAGUCAUGUGUCAGGAGGGGAAAUAAUAUGUUUAUCAAUUGUAACAAAAGUUCAUUUCAUUCAAGAUAAAAUAAAUUUAACGUAUAAAAUAUUUUCAG
Molecule: long non-coding RNA, 671 nt
Organism: Mytilus californianus (California mussel)
Lineage: Eukaryota; Metazoa; Mollusca; Bivalvia; Mytilida; Mytilidae
Exons: 5
Source: RefSeq, a predicted model, not a curated record